UACGUAGGCAGCAAGCGUUGUUCGGAAUUACUGGGCGUAAAGGGUGCGUAGGCGGCUUUUUAAGUUUGGUGUGAAAUCUCCCGGCUCAACUGGGAGGGUGCGCCGAAUACUGAGAAGCUAGAGUGUGGGAGAGGAAAGUGGAAUUCCUGGUGUAGCGGUGAAAUGCGUAGAUAUCAGGAGGAACACCGGUGGUGUAAACGGCUUCCUGGACCAUAACUGACGCUGAGGCACGAAAGCGUGGGUAGCAAACAGG
Molecule: ribosomal RNA, 253 nt
Filed under: uncultured bacterium
Lineage: Bacteria
Description: partial 16S ribosomal RNA
Rfam family: Bacterial small subunit ribosomal RNA
Source: RNAcentral